GGGCCUGUAGCUCAGCGGUUAGAGCAGUCGACUCAUAAUCGAUUGGUCGCGGGUUCGAACCCGCCGGGCCCACCA
This 75-nucleotide transfer RNA is filed under the name Burkholderia multivorans. Its description in RNAcentral is "tRNA-Met". It matches the Rfam family "tRNA". From Rfam's summary of the family: Transfer RNA (tRNA) molecules are approximately 80 nucleotides in length. Lineage: Bacteria; Pseudomonadati; Pseudomonadota; Betaproteobacteria; Burkholderiales; Burkholderiaceae. The record is from RNAcentral.